GGAUCAUUACCGAGUGAGGGCCCUCUGGGUCCAACCUCCCACCCGUGUCUAUCGUACCUUGUUGCUUCGGCGGGCCCGCCGUUUCGACGGCCGCCGGGGAGGCCUCGCGCCCCCGGGCCCGCGCCCGCCGAAGACCCCAACAUGAACGCUGUUCUGAAAGUAUGCAGUCUGAGUUGAUUAUCAUAAUCAGUUAAAACUUUCAACAACGGAUCUCUUGGUUCCGGCAUCGAUGAAGAACGCAGCGAAAUGCGAUAAGUAAUGUGAAUUGCAGAAUUCAGUGAAUCAUCGAGUCUUUGAACGCACAUUGCGCCCCCUGGUAUUCCGGGGGGCAUGCCUGUCCGAGCGUCAUUGCUGCCCUCAAGCACGGCUUGUGUGUUGGGCCCCGUCCCCUCCCCCGGGGACGGGCCCGAAAGGCAGCGGCGGCACCGCGUCCGGUCCUCGAGCGUAUGGGGCUUUGUCACCCGCUCUGUAGGCCCGGCCGGCGCCAGCCGACACCCAACUUUAUUUUCUAAGGUUGACCUCGGAUCAGGUAGGGAUACCCGCUGAACUUAAGCAUAU
RNAcentral lists this ribosomal RNA (558 nucleotides) under Aspergillus lentulus. RNAcentral describes it as "eukaryotic LSU rRNA". The stretch from base 195 to 348 matches the Rfam family "5.8S ribosomal RNA". The record is from RNAcentral. Lineage: Eukaryota; Fungi; Ascomycota; Eurotiomycetes; Eurotiales; Aspergillaceae.